AGGCUGCUGUCAGAGCUUUAGAUACGUUAGCAGACGUGGCUGUGAAGACGAAUGCGACCAAGAAACUAGACCGGUUCUACGUCGCUGGGGGAUCUAAACGCGGCUGGACCACGUGGACAACUGGUGCCGUAGAUCCGCGAGUUAAAGGCAUCGCUCCUAUUGUUAUGGAUCUUCUACACAUGGUCAAGACCUUGCACCACCAAUUCCGGGCUUAUGGCGGUUGGACUUUCGUCUUUGAAGCUUACUACGAACUGAAUUUCACAAGACAGCUGGAUAACCAGAGAACCCAACUGAUGGCUGACUAUGUCGAUCCGAUUUCGUUCAAAGACACUUUAACCAUGCCCAAACUGGUUAUCAGUGCUACAGGAGAUG
Molecule: long non-coding RNA, 372 nt
Organism: Gigantopelta aegis
Lineage: Eukaryota; Metazoa; Mollusca; Gastropoda; Neomphalida; Peltospiridae
Exons: 4
Source: RefSeq, a predicted model, not a curated record